UGUUUUUCAGUUAAAAGCUAAAUGUGUAAUUUUCUCCAAAUGGGAAAAUUUAAAAGAAGGGUCUGAAGCAUAGCAAUUCCAAACGUGAGUCAAAGAAAGUGUUUACCUGAGCAGCCAAGUUCAGACUCUUCACCCUCCUCUCUCCACACACGUUUAGAAUUUGUGAAGAUUCAAACACUAUGUCUAACUGGUAAAUAUACUUGAAAUAAAUCCUUCCCCUCAGCAUAUAAUUGGUCUUAGGUACUAGUGAGAUUCAAUUAUAAAGACUAUUUUAAGUUAAAGAAAUGAAGCAUUCCAGGUACUGUGCAUUCAUACGAGAACAGAACAAUUUUUAUAAUGAUAAAUGUAUUAGAUAAAGUAAACCUGGUAGGCAGUGUUUUUACAUCAUUUAUCCUUAGUUUGUUAUCAUUGCAACAAAAUAUUACAUGCACUGUAUUGCAAAGGAAUAAAAACUGCAUUUUAGUGAAAAUGUUCCAUGAUUCAUUCUGAAUAUUCAUGAUGACGAUUCUACUCCCUAAUUCAUUCUGCUUAAUUCUAACUCUGAAAGGAGGCAUAAGCUAAGAAACAUUAAUGAAAAAGGUAUUUCAAAAGUAUUUUGAACAGUGGAUGAUUUUAAGACAUUUUCAUGUCAGUUGGCUAAGUGAGUUAAUGGACCCUAAUGGCAAUUUAGUAGUGAUUUGUUUGGGGUAUUUUAUAUGUAGGGUCUGGUGAGCAACUAUUUAUUAUUUGUGCAUGUUAAACAGAUGCUGGUAGAAUUUUAUUUUUAAUUAAUUUCAAAGGUUUAUUAUAUAUUGGAAGUGAAAACAUCUGCUAGUAAAUAGAGUUUGGCUUUAUUUUAUGAGUAAAAUAAAUGAUACUGAACAUAGCUUACCAAAUUCUUUUGGGUUUUUUAUGAAGUGAUUCCUGUUGGUUCUACAAUGCAAAAGCAUAAUUUCAUUGACAUUGGGAAUAUUGUUGUAUAAAGUAACUGGCAUUACAUUUCUCCCAUUUUCACUUUUUUGUAGUAAAUUCUGUUGUAGAGAAGAACUAAGACAAUUUGCUUUUAAUCUAGCAUCUUGGGGGGGC
This 1065-nucleotide long non-coding RNA is filed under the name Marmota monax (woodchuck). Lineage: Eukaryota; Metazoa; Chordata; Mammalia; Rodentia; Sciuridae. The record is from RNAcentral.